CACGUAGGCGGAUACUUAAGUCAGGGGUGAAAUCCCGGGGCUCAACCCCGGAACUGCCUUUGAUACUGGGUAUCUCGAGUCCGGAAGAGGUGAGUGGAAUUCCGAGUGUAGAGGUGAAAUUCGUAGAUAUUCGGAGGAACACCAGUGGCGAAGGCGGCUCACUGGUCCGGUACUGACGCUGAGGUGCGAAAGCGUGGGGAGGCAAAACA
This 209-nucleotide ribosomal RNA is filed under the name uncultured bacterium. RNAcentral's name for it is "partial 16S ribosomal RNA". It matches the Rfam family "Bacterial small subunit ribosomal RNA", at positions 568 to 776 of the family's 1533-position model. The record is from RNAcentral.